UUGGGGAUAAAAAACGACAGCAGUCCCUGAAUCUGCUGAGCACUUUCAAAGCAUGAUGACUAAGGGGGAAAUCAAUAUGAAUUAAUGGAUUUAAAUCAACAUUUAAUGUGUUGCUUGAAAAUGAUUGUGUAACACUUUUAAUCAUUUGGGUUUUUCUUCCUCAAAAAGUAGAAUAAUCUUAUACCCUGCUGUGCAAUUACACUGUUCAAUUUGUUAAGAUGUAAAACAAUACUCUCCCACUGAGUAGCGUGGUUUGUGGGACCCUCAGUUCUCAGUCUCUGUAUAAACAGCUCAGUGUGUGACUCAUUUGAUGCGUACUGUGUAAUUCAGGUUGGGUGUAAAUACACCCUGUUCAAACCGACACUGACCAUCCUUCAUGACAGAGCCGGAUACAUUAUCUAAGCACUAUAACUCCAAAAUAAAAUUACAAGGGUGAAAUCACACGGUGACGGUUUGUCACUCCAGUAAUUUCCACAUUAAACCAAAUUAAAAAGCUGCCUUCUCAUUUCUUCUACAGGUUGCUUGUGCCACCUGCAGGAAGUGCUAUCAUAGAUAAUUAACGCUUGUGUCGCAAACACAUGUUUUAUAUGUCAUGUGUGAAUUGAUUGACUGAAUGAAAAAAUGAUUGCCUGGUUGAUUGAUUGAUUUAUUGACUGAACUGGUAAUUGUGUUCUUGAAAUGUUUUCUUUUGUGUUGCUUUUAAAGGGUUCACUUAUGUACUGUUAGGUGUGGCGUGUUAGCAUUGAUUAUUUAUGAGGUCAGACUAAAUUCAGAAAUGCAGCGCACCAAAUUUCUGUCUUACCUUACCUUGGCGAUUGAUUUGUGGACACUGCUCGGGGCUUGUGUGACGGACAAAGACACCAUCUAAUGUCAGAAAUGUCCCUCUCUGACUGUGUGGGUAAAAAAAGAGAGACAGAGUGAGUAAAAUAAUAAAUGAAAAAAAAAAAAAGUCUUUGUCGCCUCUGCCCCCCCUUUUAAGGGAAAUCUGGGAAAUGAAUUCAGCGAUUGUUAUGUUUCACCUGCUGCAAAGUCACCCCAAAAAACACAAAGCUGCUCUCCAACUCUUGCUGCUCGCUGAACUACUUAACCUACUAUUACAUCAUUCUCUCUGGAUCUGAGCCAGACAGCACUUGGCUGCCUGCCAUCCUACUUUUUCGCCUCUCUCUGUUUUGUUGUACUGCACACUCGUACACACUUCUUACACUUUUCUUAACGUCUCAGUGCUGGAUGGCCAUCAGGUUUUUGCCCCGUGUCUCCGACAGUUUGUCAGUCCUCUUUGCAAAGCUGACAGGUUGUUGUUUUAUUUAUGCCACCGCUCGACACAUGCAUGCCACUCAAGAGACAGAUGGACGUGUGUAAUACCAGAUUCCUUGCUGAAUGCUGAAUUGUACGUCUCUUUAAGUAAGCCCUGCAGGAGAAUGCACGCUGAGAGAUGCCCCCCCUCCUUAUCAGUCAAUGGGCAUAAGUCUAUCAGCAGCUCAAGCCUGGAGGAAGAGCUCUGUUUUUAACUGUUAUGAAUAGGUGCUUUUCUUGCUUCCUUUCCUCGAACCCUUUGCCCUGAGGCGGAUACUAUAGAUGUCUUUGCUUGAACUUAACAGAACUCUUAAGUGAGUAGUGCUGAGGGAAGCAAACUUGUAGUGCUUACUGAGUGAUUCUCAGCUUUAGGAUUUAGCUUUUAGAUAUUCUAAACAAAAGUUUUAUUGAUACCUUGAAAACUUUUACGAAAGUUGAUGCUUUUUUUCCCCCUAAGAUUGUAACAACUGAUACAAAAAACUACAAUUUAAUCAUUCAACUCAAUAGUAUAUUUCUUCUCCAAAAGAAGAACAUAUCAUUUAAAUCACUAAUCCUUAAGAAUAGACCAGUACUUAAAUAAAAAGCACAGUCUACCUAAUGAGUGCAUGUGGAGUGGAUACACAAUCCAAAAUAAUUGUGCCAGCUUUAAGCCCUCAAUAAAAGUCAACAAAGGCCCAAUAAUCAGGUGGUUGUGAAGAUAAUCUUGUCAAUUCAUCCUGUGUUGUGAGAUGCAGUGCGAGUAAUUUCUCUUUUCCAAUCUGCAUGAAAAACACAAGAGCCACCCCGCCUGUGAGUUCAGAGUUGACCUGGCACAUAAUGGUGUCUUUGUCAACACCUGUCCCUCCACUUUGCUGGGCUGCUCUCAAACCUUUAUACUGCUAUACUUUAAGUUCAUUGGCUUUCACACACUACCCGCUACCCCCCACCCCACAGACCAUAGAAAAAAAAAACUACAAGGUAGAAUGAUGGGACUUCUAUCUGUUUCGUAUGGCACAGUGGUUCUACAAGCAAGUCAGUGCAUUCAUUGGGUGGUUUCACAGAGUUACAAGGGUCUUUAAAUGCAAUGAAAACAAUUGACUACAGCAAUUUACUGACAUUAGAAAAUGUGAUUUUUAUUUGUGAGAAUUAUACACAUACGUACAAAUCAUAAGCCAAACAACGAUAAAUUUGGCUGAAUUAGAAAAUGUAUAAGUGGUAAAAUGAAGAGCUGUUUGGGAGCCGAAAGAGCUGGCUCUUCUUGGUGAGCUGAGCCGAAUGAUCUGGCUCACUAAAAAGAGCCGUAAUUCCCGUCACUAAUGCUGACUCACAAGCAUAUACUGUAUAUACUAUGGACAACUUGGUUCCGACUUCCGCCAGUAUACAGAUUUGAAGCCGAAAAACUCUUUCUCCCCAUUUCCUGAAAACAACGUUGCACAGUAGCAUUGUACAUGCUCCACCACUUGCGCAGUAGUAUUGUGCGCAUUCGGUGGGAGUGUCGCAGAGAGUCGCUGUGAUGGAACUCAGCUUAAACAGCUUAUCCACUGGUUGAGUUGCACAAUCCUUGUAUGCCCAGAGGCUGUAUCAAGUGUCAAUCAUAGAAACACAAACCCCCUAAUAACUUUUAAAAAGCUGUACAGAAAAAAAGAGAACUUGAGCACAAACCAGUCUUACAAUAACUACAUGUCAUCAUGGGGGGAGAAAAAUUUAUGUUCUUUGUCAUAAAUUUCUAAAGUUUGUCCACAGCUCUAUAAGCUUUGCUGGCGGAGGCAGAAUUUAUGAUCUAUACUGCAGCCUGUCACCAGAGGGUGCUGUUCUCGGAGUGGCUUCACCCAGCAAGGAGGCAGACUCUGUCCAUUCUAUAUACAGUUUUUGCUCACAAGUCUAUAAACGUCAGUAUUUUCAUGAGAUCUGUCCAAAUGUUUAUGCAGCAUUUGACCUCUUCACUUCUUCAAACGAACUGGCGACUCAGUUUGUUGGUACACUAGUGUCUUGAAGCAAAUUUUCAACAAUACAAUGUGCUUCCAAAACAUGUGGCAUUUGCACUGAGAUAAAGGGGCUGUGUCAAAGGAAUCAUUACUGAUUUAGGUUGUGUUACUUUAAAUUUUUAGACAAUUUAUUCUUAAUUUAAAUGUAGCCAACUACCUUGCCCUAAAAUGAAUGCCUAUGAAGUUAGCUUUGCGCCUUGUAUGCUAGCGCAGAUCCCCUGAUUAGGUCUUCUGAGGUGGGUAUAGGUUUUGUCUGACAUCCCUCUUACUCCUCCAAUAUUCCCACUGUUUCUUCCCCAUCACCUGUGUCAGUGUCCAGGUCAGACCCUCCCGGCUACAGCAGAUGUUACAUUAUUCCCCUGAUAAAAACUACACUUCUUUGCCAUUCGGAUAGCAAGUUAAGUGUCUGGACUUCUUCACCACCCCUGGCAAUAACAACAAAGCUGUCUCACAAAUACUUUUAUUCAAAAGUUUAGAUUUAUUUGUUUCAGUUGUUUUCUGCUUUUGUGUUUUUACCUUUCACGAUUUGUGUAUUUGCAGUGCAAUUGCUGAUGUUUAAGCUUCCUGCAGCACUUUUUUCCCAUGCAGUCAAGUUUAUGUCAGCUGUCACAUUUAAGACUUUUGCAUUUUUUUUUUUUCACUGCCUCUCCUUUUACAAUAUGUAAAAAAAAAAAUCUGUUGUGUGUAAAAACAUUACAAAAGCGUAGACUUUUCAUACCUCAGGAUAAUUCCUAUGUCUUUAUUUGCUUUUACCGCCAUUCUCCGAUGAUAAUUAAUGUAGCUGCUGACUGGCGCUAAGUCUGUUUGCACAGCAAGAUGUCCAAGCAUCAAUCUGUCCACAAUGGCUUUAUCAAACUUUCUGUACUAAGCAUUAUCCUUUAAGACUGUAGGCUGUGUUUUCAGUAGGCUUUAGUUUAUCUCAAGUUUGUACAUUUACACAAGGCACAGCAAAUAUUAUUCAUUGUUUGGAUGAGACUGAUUUAUUUUUCCAAGACAUCAUCUUUAACACUUGAUAAUUUGGAGACCUUGGCAGAUGCCUCCAGGUGAAAACAGGUUGAAAUUCACCUCCAGCGUAUUUCUUUGUUUUGAUACUCUUGCAUUGCUCCCUAGCAACAGCUGCUUAAUUCCACUCCAUCUUUUGCCUAUUUGUCAGGUUUCUGGGGGAUUUAAACCUGACUGAGUUGUAUUGAUAGGUAAGGCUCUGAUCCCAAGCAUUUGCAGGGGGAAGUUGACAGUGACAGAGGAAAACAACGUAGAGAAGUGGAAAAAAACAGCAUCCCCCUCUUGUAAAAUAAAGACAACCUCUAAUUCACCUGGCAGAGAAGGAGGCAAGCAUGUCCGGUCCUGAGGAUUGAUGCCAAUGCAGUGAUCUCACAGGUUUGAUCGAGCUCUUGGAAAACAGUUUAUGCUUCAUGAUGGAUUGCCUGAGGGUAAUGCAUUAAAAUUCAAGAUGGCAAAGUUUCCUUGUAAUGCUUUGAUAAUCUUUAUAGACAUCUGAUGAAUUAAUAACUGCUUUACUUGGAAAAAAGAUGAGUUUUUUUGGCUGAUAUUUUGAAGUAGCCUAGCUUUCGUUAUCAUUACAUUGGAAACCUCCCUUUCUCAAGACAGAAUGAUUUACAAACCCC
This 4882-nucleotide long non-coding RNA is filed under the name Xyrichtys novacula (pearly razorfish). The record is from RNAcentral. Lineage: Eukaryota; Metazoa; Chordata; Actinopteri; Labriformes; Labridae.